GGUUUAUUAGUCAUAGGCACACUGAAAAGGGAUGUGUCCAUGGUCUUAUAUUUGACAGAAAGCUGUCAGCGGUCAGGGAUACCAUAUUGACCCUGGUGGACACUGAUCGGCUCAUAGACGGACAUGGCUAACCAGAAGAAGCUGAUAGACGAGCUCUGUGGGAUUGUUACUUCUUUUCUAUGUCCCCAGGGGAUUGUGCCAGAGAUUGAAAAAUGUUCUACAAAGCUGCCUCAUUUUUCUAAAGGUGGAACAAAGCCUGUGUGCACAGUGAGGCUCCAGCAUGGCCACACUUAUCACAUUGAGUUUGUGUACAAGUUUUGGCAGCACAUUUUGGGCCAGCUUCGCCUGCCCCUACAGCCUUGCUUUAUUUUGACAAAUAACGGCUUGGCCACCACUUUGAAAUGUUUUAUGAGCCCGCCAAGGGAUAUAGACUUUCAGUAUGGCAACAGGGUCAAUAUGGCCUGCGAUGUGAAUUUGGAGAAAAACUCUUGUGUUAUCAUAGAGGACGAGGAUUUCCUGAGGUUCAAGAGCUACCAUGUGUUUCCCAAGGACGUACCAAUCUAUAACUCUAUGGUGGUAUGUAGAACCUACAUCACUGAUAUGAGGAACGCAGUACAAUUUUUUGUGGUCAAGCCUGGAAACAGGAGAAAGAUUGUGCAUAUGUUGGAAAGUAUUGAGGAGAUGCCUGAAACCCCACAACAGUUGUAUUUUUGUGGUGGACGUGGGUAUAAGAUGAUAGGGGCUGGGCUCUCCCUCUUCUUUUUUGCAGCCAUAGUGGCGCUGGCCAGUAAACUAGUAUGGUGAUGGGGGCCUUGGACUAUCUGCGCUUGAUGAAUAUUUCAGUGGAUGAGUUUAGAAGCUUUUGUAUCUAUGGCCACCUCAGUGGGCAGCGUGGAUGGGGUGAGCUGUUGUUGAGCAAUCUUUCAUUUAAAAGAGCAGUGUGCCAUAUACUGAAAAUACAGUGUGAGACUAAGAAGAGGUGGACAAACAAGGUAUUGGUGGCGAAUAGUGCGUUGUCCCUACUGACCCUCUUCAGGAUGGUUCUUCAUGAAUGUGUUUUUUCACACAAAUAUUUUAUACCUGACAGGAUCGAGGACAUGUGUUUCCCGCUGACCAAAAUACUCACUGUGCCCUUCCUCAAGGCCCUAGAUCUGUAUCUCUCCCAGUUUUCCAUCUCAUGCAAGUUUCCCAUAAUUAAAAUAUCCACUGUGAAUCCUACCCUUCUGGCGUUUACCAAGAAGAAAUAUCUGGCUAGUGUUGUGUCUGAUCAACCCAUCGAGGUCCCUGCUCCAUCUGCCCGGCCUGAUCCUGUGAGGUUUACUGCUGCGGUGCCCUUAGCUUCUGAUGAGCAGUCUCUGGUGAAAGCUUUACAUUCCAGUACCGGGACAGUCCAGUGUGGAAAUCCAUUUUAUUAUAUGAUGACCAGACUUUGCUUGUAUGGACUAAUGCAUGGUAGGGGGGGAAUUGUGCCAGUUUCCAGCUCUAGUAAGCAGAGUGUAUAUGAUGUGGCUAUAAGAUUUAUAGGUUCUAGGAUAUUGAGCCCGAUAGUGAGGCUGCCAAUUUUAUCCAGGGCUUUGGCAGACCUGGCGCUGACGGGGCACGGUCAUCAGAUAACAGUGUGUAAUGAAUGUGGCCACUGUUUAAAUUUGGGCAGGGAUAAAUUUCUUGCAGUAAAUUUUUCCCCCACAAGUAUGUUUUAUUGCAGAGAUCAAAAGGAGAAACAGUUUAACAUAUGUGCUACAACUGGGAGGAUCUAUUGUUCAUAUUGUGGGGCGACAGAGUUUACAGUGUAUGACAUGGUGGGAAGGUAUGCUACGGGGGAGCCUUUUAUUAGGGCGGUUUCCUCAGCUAACUCCCUUAGUAUUUUAGAUAAUAGCGAACAGGAGUGUGAUAUACUGAUCCCUUGUUUUGGUAAAUCUAGGUCUUGCAGUAUUAAGCUGAGGGCGACAUUUAGGGAGCUACUUUAUUUGACAGCGUCUGUUGAUAAUUUUAUUUGUCAAAAGUGUUCCAAUAAGGGUGAUGAAUAAAGACAGGGU
Molecule: non-coding RNA, 2036 nt
Filed under: synthetic construct
Source: RNAcentral